Molecule: long non-coding RNA, 1238 nt
Organism: Scophthalmus maximus (turbot)
Lineage: Eukaryota; Metazoa; Chordata; Actinopteri; Pleuronectiformes; Scophthalmidae
Exons: 2
Source: RefSeq, a predicted model, not a curated record
GUCUCGGCGGCGGCCACGCGGUGCAGGACGGGCAGCCACACCAUGGACUGGGGCUCCAGGCGCAUCCAGUCCAGGAACAUGGCCGCCUCCAGCUCCGGCUUGUUGUUGGCCUGAGAACACAAGAGUUACACGAACACGAUUCCAUAAUCCCAACGAGUAGGCGUUUGCUUUGAUACGCCCACAGAGGAGUUCAGUUCACUUUAAUCCCGCGCUCGCUGUCCCGCUGCCCCAGAUUCUCACUACGGCAAGAACAAACGCACUAUUGUCUCCCGUUUUAACACUAGCAGAAAAAAAUAUUAGCUUCAUGCUUCACUUUCCCAUCUCUCUCACAUGGUGUGUGUGUAUGUGUGUGUGAGGGUGUGUACAUGUGUGUUUGUGUAGUGAAAUACCGAACUUGUGGGGGCGUUGAGAGGUUUGUUUAUGCUUCCUAAUCCCAGUAAAUUAGAACAAAAGCUUUCUGUCUGUGACGGGCGUCUGCACCAUCAUUUAUAUAUUGUAUGUACUAUAUUGUGAUGAUUGUUUUUGAGCCACGUCUCCGCAGCCGUGACAGAUGAUUUGUUUGUCUCCCACAGUGUUUCACUGUCAAACACUUUAUCCAUGUUUCGUCCUUUUCUUCAUCUCCAGCUCCGCUCUUAGUGACGGUCCAGUUUCUUCCUGUCAAUAAACCUGAUUUAGUCUGAAGUAAACAAACACUCUGCUCGGUGCGGGAAUCUGUGGAGGCCCGCAGGCAUUAGUGGGAACAGACCUCUGUGCAAGUGCAGCAUACGACGGUGUUGUGUACGUUCAUUAUUUUCUUUCCAUGUCAAGAGUGAGAAAUAAGUGAGAGUGAGUGUUUGUGUUUGCGACGCACAAACUGGAAGCAGCUGCGGACGGACGGCUCGAUGUUGGAGCCGCCGAAGGAGGCGACCUCGCCGAGCUGCCGGGGGAUCUGGAUGGAGUCGUGCAGGAGGAGGCCCAGGCGCCGCUGGUCACAGAACCCGGUGGCGCUGGCGACCUGUCGGAACAAGACUGGAGGAGGGAGGGAGGAACGGACGGAGAGACACGUGGCACAUGGCGAGUUACGGAUGAGGCAAACAUUUUAUAAGAAUGGUCGGAACAAGAGAAAAGUGAGGACUCACAUCUGUAUUUAUCCUCCAGAUGAGCCUUGCAGAGGGAGACCACUCCAGUUUUGAACGACAGAGUCCGGAUCUUUCCGGUGCGACCACUAAACACACCACAAAUAAACGUGUUACACCUCA